CCCUUAGAUGUUCUGGGCCGCACGCGCGCUACACUGACGAAUGCAACGAGCUUAUAACCUUGGCCGAGAGGUCUGGGUAAUCUCCAAAUUUCGUCGUGAUGGGGAUAGAUUAUUGCAAUUAUUAAUCUUCAACGAGGAAUGCCUAGUAAGCGCAAGUCAUCAGCUUGCGUUGAUUACGUCCCUGCCCUUUGUACACACCGCCCGUCGCUCCUACCGAUUGAAUGGUCCGGUGAAGCGUUCGGACCGUGGCCUUUGGACGGUUCGCCGUCUGUUGGCUGCGGGAAGUUCGUUAAACCUUAUCAUUUAGAGGAAGGAGAAGUCGUAACA
RNAcentral lists this ribosomal RNA (327 nucleotides) under uncultured eukaryote. RNAcentral describes it as "partial 18S ribosomal RNA". It matches the Rfam family "Eukaryotic small subunit ribosomal RNA", at positions 1470 to 1796 of the family's 1831-position model. The record is from RNAcentral.